UGACGGAGGCAGAUCAUGUUGAGGUAGUAGAAGGCUCGGGUAAGCUUGAAAAAUUAACAGGUGAUGCCAGGGAUUACCUCAAUACCAAAAGAGUUGGGAAAUCAAGGGAUCAAGAGGCAGAACAGGUUUCUACUGAACAACGGGUUUUACCAAGGGAUCAAGCAGAGCAAAUUGAUGUUGUGAUCAAUGAUAAAGGGAAUGCCAAGGCACCACUA
This 215-nucleotide long non-coding RNA is filed under the name Nicotiana benthamiana. RNAcentral describes it as "long non-coding RNA (NBEN_LNC035471)". The record is from RNAcentral. Lineage: Eukaryota; Viridiplantae; Streptophyta; Magnoliopsida; Solanales; Solanaceae.